Molecule: long non-coding RNA, 292 nt
Organism: Sardina pilchardus (European sardine)
Lineage: Eukaryota; Metazoa; Chordata; Actinopteri; Clupeiformes; Clupeidae
Exons: 4
Source: RefSeq, a predicted model, not a curated record
CGUAUUUCCGUUUCCGGUAGCUGGACACUCGCGGGAUAUUUAAAAAUGUCAGGUAGAAGAGAUUACCCAACCUUGGCGAAGGUGGCUUCCUCAUUCAGCACAAAGAGGGACCUUCUUGGACUGGAUUUGGAUAAGAUUCCCCCUUUGAAGAGGCACAGGCGUCCAAAACAAGCUGCGGAAGCAGUCAGACUACCUCUCCCCUCUACCCCGGUGCCGUCAAUCACCCCACCUUCAUCCAAUCUGCAGUGGUGCCUGAAGAACAUCCAGUGGAGGAUCUGUUGGAAGAUCUGGU